AAAAAAGGUAAGCUACUAAGAGCGAAUGGUGGAUGCCUUGACUGGUAAAGGCGAUGAAGGACGUACUAGACUGCGAUAAGCUACGGGGAGCUGUCAAGAAGCUUUGAUCCGUAGAUUUCCGAAUGGGGCAACCCAAUGUAUAGAGAUAUACAUUACCUAUAUAGGAGCGAACGAGGGGAAUUGAAACAUCUUAGUACCCUCAGGAAAAGAAAUCAAUAGAGAUUGCGUCAGUAGCGGCGAGCGAAAGCGUAAGAGGGCAAACCCAGUGCUUGCACUGGGGGUUGUAGGACUGCAAUGUGCAAGAGGUGAGUUUAGCAGAACAUUCUGGAAAGUAUAGCCAUAGAGGGUGAUAGUCCCGUAUGCGAAAAACAAACCUUAGCUAGCAGUAUCCUGAGUAGGGCGGGACACGAGAAAUCCUGUCUGAAGCUGGGUCGACCACGAUCCAACCCUAAAUACUAAUACCAGAUCGAUAGUGCACAAGUACCGUGAGGGAAAGGUGAAAAGAACUGAGGUGAUCAGAGUGAAAUAGAACCUGAAACCAUUUGCUUACAAUCAUUCAGAGCACUAUGUAGCAAUACAGUGUGAUGGACUGCCUUUUGCAUAAUGAGCCUGCGAGUUGUGGUGUCUGGCAAGGUUAAGCAAACGCGAAGCCGUAGCGAAAGCGAGUCUGAAUAGGGCGCUUAGUCAGAUGCUGCAGACCCGAAACGAAGUGAUCUAUCCAUGAGCAAGUUGAAGCUAGUGUAAGAACUAGUGGAGGACUGAACCCAUAGGCGUUGAAAAGCCCCGGGAUGACUUGUGGAUAGGGGUGAAAGGCCAAUCAAACUUCGUGAUAGCUGGUUCUCUCCGAAAUAUAUUUAGGUAUAGCGUUGUGUCGUAAUAUAAGGGGGUAGAGCACUGAAUGGGCUAGGGCAUACACCAAUGUACCAAACCCUAUCAAACUCCGAAUACCUUAUAUGUAAUCACAGCAGUCAGGCGGCGAGUGAUAAAAUCCGUCGUCAAGAGGGAAACAACCCAGACUACCAGCUAAGGUCCCUAAAUCUUACUUAAGUGGAAAACGAUGUGAAGUUACUUAAACAACCAGGAGGUUGGCUUAGAAGCAGCCAUCCUUUAAAGAAAGCGUAAUAGCUCACUGGUCUAGUGAUUUUGCGCGGAAAAUAUAACGGGGCUAAAGUAAGUACCGAAGCUGUAGACUUGCGCACAACUUAGAUUAUUUAAGUUUAGAAUAUGAGAAACUAAGUUAUAUGUUUAGUUAUAUUUUUACUGAUUUUUAUAGAGUAAAGAUAGAAAUAAAACUUAGUAAAAUCAGUAAAAAUAUUCUUAGACUAAAGUUAAGUAGUUUAAGUUGUGUGCAAGUGGUAGGAGAGCGUUCUAUUUGCGUCGAAGGUAUACCGGUAAGGAGUGCUGGAGCGAAUAGAAGUGAGCAUGCAGGCAUGAGUAGCGAUAAUUAAUGUGAGAAUCAUUAACGCCGUAAACCCAAGGUUUCCUACGCGAUGCUCGUCAUCGUAGGGUUAGUCGGGUCCUAAGUCGAGUCCGAAAGGGGUAGACGAUGGCAAAUUGGUUAAUAUUCCAAUACCAACAUUAGUGUGCGAUGGAAGGACGCUUAGGGCUAAGGGGGCUAGCGGAUGGAAGUGCUAGUCUAAGGUCGUAGGAGGUUAUACAGGCAAAUCCGUAUAACAAUACUCCGAGAACUGAAAGGCUUUUUGAAGUCUUCGGAUGGAUAGAAGAACCCCUGAUGCCAUCGAGCCAAGAAAAGUUUCUAAGUUUAGCUAAUGUUGCCCGUACCGUAAACCGACACAGGUGGGUGGGAUGAGUAUUCUAAGGCGCGUGGAAGAACUCUCUUUAAGGAACUCUGCAAAAUAGCACCGUAUCUUCGGUAUAAGGUGUGGUUCGCUUCGUAUUAGGAUUUACUCCGAAAGCGAAGAAACUUACAACAAAGAGUCCCUCCCGACUGUUUACCAAAAACACAGCACUCUGCUAACUCGUAAGAGGAUGUAUAGGGUGUGACGCCUGCCCGGUGCUCGAAGGUUAAUUGAUGGGGUUAGCAUUAGCGAAGCUCUUGAUCGAAGCCCGAGUAAACGGCGGCCGUAACUAUAACGGUCCUAAGGUAGCGAAAUUCCUUGUCGGUUAAAUACCGACCUGCAUGAAUGGCGUAACGAGAUGGGAGCUGUCUCAAAGAGGGAUCCAGUGAAAUUGUAGUGGAGGUGAAAAUUCCUCCUACCCGCGGCAAGACGGAAAGACCCCGUGGACCUUUACUACAGCUUGACACUGCUAUUUGGAUAAGAAUGUGCAGGAUAGGUGGGAGGCUUUGAGUAUAUGACGCCAGUUGUAUAUGAGCCAUUGUUGAGAUACCACUCUUUCUUAUUUGGGUAGCUAACCAGCUUGAGUUAUCCUCAAGUGGGACAAUGUCUGGUGGGUAGUUUGACUGGGGCGGUCGCCUCCCAAAUAAUAACGGAGGCUUACAAAGGUUGGCUCAGAACGGUUGGAAAUCGUUCGUAGAGUAUAAAGGUAUAAGCCAGCUUAACUGCAAGACAUACAAGUCAAGCAGAGACGAAAGUCGGUCUUAGUGAUCC
This 2570-nucleotide ribosomal RNA is filed under the name Campylobacter coli. Its description in RNAcentral is "partial 23S ribosomal RNA". It matches the Rfam family "Bacterial large subunit ribosomal RNA", at positions 1 to 2421 of the family's 2925-position model. Lineage: Bacteria; Pseudomonadati; Campylobacterota; Epsilonproteobacteria; Campylobacterales; Campylobacteraceae. The record is from RNAcentral.